RNAcentral lists this ribosomal RNA (2654 nucleotides) under Escherichia coli. RNAcentral describes it as "partial 23S ribosomal RNA". It matches the Rfam family "Bacterial large subunit ribosomal RNA". Lineage: Bacteria; Pseudomonadati; Pseudomonadota; Gammaproteobacteria; Enterobacterales; Enterobacteriaceae. The record is from RNAcentral.
GGUUAAGCGACUAAGCGUACACGGUGGAUGCCCUGGCAGUCAGAGGCGAUGAAGGACGUGCUAAUCUGCGAUAAGCGUCGGUGAGGUGAUAUGAACCGUUAUAACCGGCGAUUUCCGAAUGGGGAAACCCAGUGUGUUUCGACACACUAUCAUUAACUGAAUCCAUAGGUUAAUGAGGCGAACCGGGGGAACUGAAACAUCUAAGUACCCCGAGGAAAAGAAAUCAACCGAGAUUCCCCCAGUAGCGGCGAGCGAACGGGGAGGAGCCCAGAGCCUGAAUCAGUGUGUGUGUUAGUGGAAGCGUCUGGAAAGGCGUGCGAUACAGGGUGACAGCCCCGUACACAAAAAUGCACAUAUUGUGAGCUCGAUGAGUAGGGCGGGACACGUGGUAUCCUGUCUGAAUAUGGGGGGACCAUCCUCCAAGGCUAAAUACUCCUGACUGACCGAUAGUGAACCAGUACCGUGAGGGAAAGGCGAAAAGAACCCCGGCGAGGGGAGUGAAAAAGAACCUGAAACCGUGUACGUACAAGCAGUGGGAGCCUCUUUAUGGGGUGACUGCGUACCUUUUGUAUAAUGGGUCAGCGACUUAUAUUCUGUAGCAAGGUUAACCGAAUAGGGGAGCCGAAGGGAAACCGAGUCUUAACUGGGCGUUAAGUUGCAGGGUAUAGACCCGAAACCCGGUGAUCUAGCCAUGGGCAGGUUGAAGGUUGGGUAACACUAACUGGAGGACCGAACCGACUAAUGUUGAAAAAUUAGCGGAUGACUUGUGGCUGGGGGUGAAAGGCCAAUCAAACCGGGAGAUAGCUGGUUCUCCCCGAAAGCUAUUUAGGUAGCGCCUCGUGAAUUCAUCUCCGGGGGUAGAGCACUGUUUCGGCAAGGGGGUCAUCCCGACUUACCAACCCGAUGCAAACUGCGAAUACCGGAGAAUGUUAUCACGGGAGACACACGGCGGGUGCUAACGUCCGUCGUGAAGAGGGAAACAACCCAGACCGCCAGCUAAGGUCCCAAAGUCAUGGUUAAGUGGGAAACGAUGUGGGAAGGCCCAGACAGCCAGGAUGUUGGCUUAGAAGCAGCCAUCAUUUAAAGAAAGCGUAAUAGCUCACUGGUCGAGUCGGCCUGCGCGGAAGAUGUAACGGGGCUAAACCAUGCACCGAAGCUGCGGCAGCGACACUAUGUGUUGUUGGGUAGGGGAGCGUUCUGUAAGCCUGUGAAGGUGGCCUGUGAGGGUUGCUGGAGGUAUCAGAAGUGCGAAUGCUGACAUAAGUAACGAUAAAGCGGGUGAAAAGCCCGCUCGCCGGAAGACCAAGGGUUCCUGUCCAACGUUAAUCGGGGCAGGGUGAGUCGACCCCUAAGGCGAGGCCGAAAGGCGUAGUCGAUGGGAAACAGGUUAAUAUUCCUGUACUUGGUGUUACUGCGAAGGGGGGACGGAGAAGGCUAUGUUGGCCGGGCGACGGUUGUCCCGGUUUAAGCGUGUAGGCUGGUUUUCCAGGCAAAUCCGGAAAACCAAGGCUGAGGCGUGAUGACGAGGCACUACGGUGCUGAAGCGACAAAUGCCCUGCUUCCAGGAAAAGCCUCUAAGCAUCAGGUAACAUCAAAUCGUACCCCAAACCGACACAGGUGGUCAGGUAGAGAAUACCAAGGCGCUUGAGAGAACUCGGGUGAAGGAACUAGGCAAAAUGGUGCCGUAACUUCGGGAGAAGGCACGCUGAUAUGUAGGUGAAGCGACUUGCUCGUGGAGCUGAAAUCAGUCGAAGAUACCAGCUGGCUGCAACUGUUUAUUAAAAACACAGCACUGUGCAAACACGAAAGUGGACGUAUACGGUGUGACGCCUGCCCGGUGCCGGAAGGUUAAUUGAUGGGGUUAGCGGUAACGCGAAGCUCUUGAUCGAAGCCCCGGUAAACGGCGGCCGUAACUAUAACGGUCCUAAGGUAGCGAAAUUCCUUGUCGGGUAAGUUCCGACCUGCACGAAUGGCGUAAUGAUGGCCAGGCUGUCUCCACCCGAGACUCAGUGAAAUUGAACUCGCUGUGAAGAUGCAGUGUACCCGCGGCAAGACGGAAAGACCCCGUGAACCUUUACUAUAGCUUGACACUGAACAUUGAGCCUUGAUGUGUAGGAUAGGUGGGAGGCUUUGAAGUGUGGACGCCAGUCUGCAUGGAGCCGACCUUGAAAUACCACCCUUUAAUGUUUGAUGUUCUAACGUUGGCCCGUAAUCCGGGUUGCGGACAGUGUCUGGUGGGUAGUUUGACUGGGGCGGUCUCCUCCUAAAGAGUAACGGAGGAGCACGAAGGUUGGCUAAUCCUGGUCGGACAUCAGGAGGUUAGUGCAAUGGCAUAAGCCAGCUUGACUGCGAGCGUGACGGCGCGAGCAGGUGCGAAAGCAGGUCAUAGUGAUCCGGUGGUUCUGAAUGGAAGGGCCAUCGCUCAACGGAUAAAAGGUACUCCGGGGAUAACAGGCUGAUACCGCCCAAGAGUUCAUAUCGACGGCGGUGUUUGGCACCUCGAUGUCGGCUCAUCACAUCCUGGGGCUGAAGUAGGUCCCAAGGGUAUGGCUGUUCGCCAUUUAAAGUGGUACGCGAGCUGGGUUUAGAACGUCGUGAGACAGUUCGGUCCCUAUCUGCCGUGGGCGCUGGAGAACUGAGGGGGGCUGCUCCUA